UAAUUGCUGUUGAUAAGGUGUGACCGUU
Molecule: non-coding RNA, 28 nt
Filed under: Bombyx mori (domestic silkworm)
Lineage: Eukaryota; Metazoa; Arthropoda; Insecta; Lepidoptera; Bombycidae
Source: RNAcentral